RNAcentral lists this long non-coding RNA (215 nucleotides) under Olea europaea (common olive). RNAcentral's name for it is "long non-coding RNA (OEUR_LNC010213)". The record is from RNAcentral. Lineage: Eukaryota; Viridiplantae; Streptophyta; Magnoliopsida; Lamiales; Oleaceae.
GUCCCAUGUAGACCUAUGAUAAAGAGUUGGUUGGAAUGCUCUGUGGUUUAAAAUGGUUAAGGCUCCAUCAAUAAUUAAAGAAGAGUCUCUCUCAAGCAUUUAAAGGUGCCUAAACGCCGCUUUCUUCCUCCACGCGUUCCAUUCUCUAUUAACGAAGUUCUAAUCAUACAAUGUAUACUUACCCACGCUUUGAUGUUUUUGUGGUAUGCACUCGC